AAGCAAUAUUUCCAGGUUAGAAGAACACUGACUUCGUUUGUCUGUCCAUUGUCAUUGGAUCUUGCAGCCUGAAGAGCACUUUGUGGUACGACCAAGGUCAGACAGCAAGGAGGAAGCCUUGAGGUCAUCGUUGAGAGGUUGAAAGACCCAUUACCAUCCAAACAGUGAUCGCAGCAGACAGUUGCCAACCUCUGCCCACACGUGGAUGCCUGAACACUGAAAUGACAUCACCGGCACUGAACAAAGGUUUCCCCAAAUGAUGUUAAAAGAGCACCACACUGGUUCUGCGUGAAACAAGAUUAGGUAUUUCAAAAGUUUUCUCACAUGGAACCUUCCAAGGUAAGUCAAAACUACCACUUCCAUCUGGACAU
This is a long non-coding RNA of Mus musculus (house mouse), 371 nucleotides long. RefSeq annotates it as predicted gene, 46581. NCBI's taxonomy places the organism in Eukaryota, Metazoa, Chordata, Mammalia, Rodentia, Muridae. The record is from RefSeq and is a predicted model, not a curated record. The transcript has 4 exons.